AGCAACAAAUGCCCUGCUUCCAGGAAAAGCCUCUAAGCAUCAGGUAACACGAAAUCGUACCCCAAACCGACACAGGUGGUCAGGUAGAGAAUACCAAGGCGCUUGAGAGAACUCGGGUGAAGGAACUAGGCAAAAUGGUGCCGUAACUUCGGGAGAAGGCACGCUGACACGUAGGUGAAGUGAUUUACUCAUGGAGCUGAAGUCAGUCGAAGAUACCAGCUGGCUGCAACUGUUUAUUAAAAACACAGCACUGUGCAAACACGAAAGUGGACGUAUACGGUGUGACGCCUGCCCGGUGCCGGAAGGUUAAUUGAUGGGGUCAGCGCAAGCGAAGCUCCUGAUCGAAGCCCCGGUAAACGGCGGCCGUAACUAUAACGGUCCUAAGGUAGCGAAAUUCCUUGUCGGGUAAGUUCCGACCUGCACGAAUGGCGUAAUGAUGGCCAGGCUGUCUCCACCCGAGACUCAGUGAAAUUGAACUCGCUGUGAAGAUGCAGUGUACCCGCGGCAAGACGGAAAGACCCCGUGAACCUUUACUAUAGCUUGACACUGAACAUUGAGCCUUGAUGUGUAGGAUAGGUGGGAGGCUUUGAAGUGUGGACGCCAGUCUGCAUGGAGCCAACCUUGAAAUACCACCCUUUAAUGUUUGAUGUUCUAACGUGGACCCGUUACCCGGGUUGCGGACAGUGUCUGGUGGGUAGUUUGACUGGGGCGGUCUCCUCCUAAAGAGUAACGGAGGAGCACGAAGGUUGGCUAAUCCUGGUCGGACAUCAGGAGGUUAGUGCAAUGGCAUAAGCCAGCUUGACUGCGAGCGUGACGGCGCGAGCAGGUGCGAAAGCAGGUCAUAGUGAUCCGGUGGUUCUGAAUGGAAGGGCCAUCGCUCAACGGAUAAAAGGUACUCCGGGGAUAACAGGCUGAUACCGCCCAAGAGUUCAUAUCGACGGCGGUGUUUGGCACCUCGAUGUCGGCUCAUCACAUCCUGGGGCUGAAGUAGGUCCCAAGGGUAUGGCUGUUCGCCAUUUAAAGUGGUACGCGAGCUGGGUUUAGAACGUCGUGAGACAGUUCGGUCCCUAUCUGCCGUGGGCGCUGGAGAACUGAGGGGGGCUGCUCCUAGUACGAGAGGACCGGAGUGGACGCAUCACUGGUGUUCGGGUUGUCAUGCCAAUGGCACUGCCCGGUAGCUAAAUGCGGAAGAGAUAAGUGCUGAAAGCAUCUAAGCACGAAACUUGCCCCGAGAUGAGUUCUCCCUGAGACUUAAAGUCUCCUGAAGGAACGUUGAAGACGACGACGUUGAUAGGCCGGGUGUGUAAGCGCAGCGAUGCGUUGAGCUAA
Molecule: ribosomal RNA, 1329 nt
Filed under: Salmonella enterica
Lineage: Bacteria; Pseudomonadati; Pseudomonadota; Gammaproteobacteria; Enterobacterales; Enterobacteriaceae
Description: partial 23S ribosomal RNA
Rfam family: Bacterial large subunit ribosomal RNA
Source: RNAcentral